Molecule: ribosomal RNA, 503 nt
Filed under: uncultured bacterium
Lineage: Bacteria
Description: bacterial SSU rRNA
Rfam family: Bacterial small subunit ribosomal RNA
Source: RNAcentral
AACGAACGCUGGCGGCGCGCUUAACACAUGCAAGUCGAACGAGAAGGCGUAGCAAUACGCUUGUACAGUGGCGAACGGGUGAGGAAUACAUGGGUAACCUACCCUCGAGUGGGGGAUAACCCGCCGAAAGGCGGGCUAAUACCGCGUACGCUUCCGAUCUUGCGGGAUUGGAAGGAAAGCUGUCCCUUGGGGAUGGCGCUCAAGGAUGGGCUCAUGUCCUAUCAGCUUGUUGGAGGGUAACGGCCUCCCAAGGCAUCGACGGGUAGCUGGUCUGAGAGGACGAUCAGCCACACUGGCACUGCGACACGGGCCAGACUCCUACGGGAGGCAGCAGUGAGGAAUAUUGCGCAAUGGGCGAAAGCCUGACGCAGCGACGCCGCGUUGGGGGAUGAAGGGUCUUCGGAUUGUAAAACCCCCUUUUCGGGAGGGAAGACGGCCUUAGACAACUAAGGCGGACGGUACCUCAGAGCAGCCACGGCUAACUUCGUGCCAGCAGCCGCGGU